Molecule: long non-coding RNA, 490 nt
Filed under: Vitis vinifera (wine grape)
Lineage: Eukaryota; Viridiplantae; Streptophyta; Magnoliopsida; Vitales; Vitaceae
Description: long non-coding RNA (VVIN_LNC000662)
Source: RNAcentral
UGCCCUCAAAAGCUCUCACUUUCUUCUCCGCUGCCGUCGCCGGGGACGACCUCCUCUGUCAUCCGUCGGUCCUCCGACCAUUUAUCUCUACCUAUCCUUCCCUCUCCUCCCUGAAAAGAAAACAAAAAAGAAAAUUUCUACGAGUCUUCGUGUGCGUUCCUUUUGAAUCAGUCGUACGGUGUAGUUUCUUUCUCUCUAGGGUUUGGUUUUAUCAAUAACAGAGGAGGGGGAAGAGAAAAAAGGACAAAAAAAAUAUAAAAUUGUGAGCAAAAGAGAAAAUUUUUUUGGCUGUGUUGUUGAGAUGGCGGCACAGGUUCAAGUUCAGCCUCAGGGUCCGGGACCCGCUCCCAACGGCGCGGCUGGCGCCGGUGGCAAUCAGUUCGUAACGACGUCGUUGUAUGUCGGCGACCUGGAGUUGAAUGUCAACGAUUCGCAGCUGUACGAUCUGUUUAGCCAAAUGGGAGCGGUGGUUUCCGUUCGGGUUUGCCGC